This 274-nucleotide ribosomal RNA is filed under the name uncultured bacterium. RNAcentral describes it as "partial 16S ribosomal RNA". It matches the Rfam family "Bacterial small subunit ribosomal RNA", at positions 523 to 796 of the family's 1533-position model. The record is from RNAcentral.
AUACAGAGGGUGCGAGCGUUAAUCGGAAUUACUGGGCGUAAAGCGCGCGUAGGCGGCUACUUAAGUCAGAUGUGAAAUCCCCGGGCUCAACCUGGGAACUGCAUCUGAUACUGGGUAGCUAGAGUUUUGGAGAGGGAAGUAGAAUUUCAGGUGUAGCGGUGAAAUGCAUAGAGAUCUGAAGGAACACCAGCGGCGAAGGCGACUUCCUGGCCAAAAACUGACGCUGAGGUGCGAAAGCGUGGGUAGCAAACGGGAUUAGAAACCCUAGUAGUCC